UGGCCUUCUUCUUUGGUGUCC
RNAcentral lists this microRNA (21 nucleotides) under Monodelphis domestica (gray short-tailed opossum). RNAcentral's name for it is "mdo-miR-12388-3p". The record is from miRBase by way of RNAcentral. Lineage: Eukaryota; Metazoa; Chordata; Mammalia; Didelphimorphia; Didelphidae.